This 254-nucleotide unclassified non-coding RNA is filed under the name Hevea brasiliensis (rubber tree). The record is from RNAcentral. Lineage: Eukaryota; Viridiplantae; Streptophyta; Magnoliopsida; Malpighiales; Euphorbiaceae.
GUAACGAUGAUGGUGGAGCGGGCGCUGCCGGUGCUGAAGAAGAAGAAAUUGAUCCUUUAGAUGCAUUCAUGGAGGGAAUUCACGAAGAAAUGAAAGCGCCGCCGCCGCCAAAACCGAAGGAGAAGGUGGAUAAGUAUAGGGACGACGAGGAGGAGGAUCCAAUGGAGAGCUUUCUGAGGGCCAAGAAGGACGUGGGACUGACGCUGGCAGCUGAUGCGCUUCAUGCUGGUUAUGAUUCUGAUGAGGAGGUUUAU